AAAUUGAAGAGUUUGAUCAUGGCUCAGAUUGAACGCUGGCGGCAGGCCUAACACAUGCAAGUCGAACGGUAACAGGAAGCAGCUUGCUGCUUCGCUGACGAGUGGCGGACGGGUGAGUAAUGUCUGGGAAACUGCCUGAUGGAGGGGGAUAACUACUGGAAACGGUGGCUAAUACCGCAUAACGUCGCAAGACCAAAGAGGGGGACCUUCGGGCCUCUUGCCAUCAGAUGUGCCCAGAUGGGAUUAGCUUGUUGGUGAGGUAACGGCUCACCAAGGCGACGAUCCCUAGCUGGUCUGAGAGGAUGACCAGCCACACUGGAACUGAGACACGGUCCAGACUCCUACGGGAGGCAGCAGUGGGGAAUAUUGCACAAUGGGCGCAAGCCUGAUGCAGCCAUGCCGCGUGUAUGAAGAAGGCCUUCGGGUUGUAAAGUACUUUCAGCGGGGAGGAAGGUGUUGCGGUUAAUAACCGCAGC
Molecule: ribosomal RNA, 476 nt
Filed under: Salmonella enterica subsp. enterica serovar Infantis
Lineage: Bacteria; Pseudomonadati; Pseudomonadota; Gammaproteobacteria; Enterobacterales; Enterobacteriaceae
Also listed under: 1 other name
Description: partial 16S ribosomal RNA
Rfam family: Bacterial small subunit ribosomal RNA
Source: RNAcentral